Molecule: ribosomal RNA, 327 nt
Filed under: uncultured eukaryote
Lineage: Eukaryota
Description: partial 18S ribosomal RNA
Rfam family: Eukaryotic small subunit ribosomal RNA
Source: RNAcentral
CCCUUAGAUGUUCUCGGCCGCACACGCGCUACACUGAAAGAGGCAACGUGUUUGCCUGAUUCGAAAGAAUUGGGUAACCCGCGAAUCUCCUUCGUGCUAGGGAUUGAGGUUUGCAAUUAUCCUUCAUGAACGAGGAAUUCCCAGUAAGUGCAAGUCAUAAGCUUGCGCUGACUACGUCCCUGCCCUUUGUACACACCGCCCGUCGCUACUACCGAUUGAAUGAUUUAGUGAGGACUUCGGACUGGGACCGAUGCGGCUUUCGGGCUGCGUCGGUAUUCUGGAAAGAUGUCCAAACUGUAUCAUUUAGAGGAAGUAAAAGUCGUAACA